RNAcentral lists this ribosomal RNA (221 nucleotides) under Escherichia coli. RNAcentral describes it as "partial 16S ribosomal RNA". It matches the Rfam family "Bacterial small subunit ribosomal RNA", at positions 456 to 676 of the family's 1533-position model. The record is from RNAcentral. Lineage: Bacteria; Pseudomonadati; Pseudomonadota; Gammaproteobacteria; Enterobacterales; Enterobacteriaceae.
UUCCUAGAGAUAGUGGACGUUACUCGCAGAAUAAGCACCGGCUAACUCUGUGCAAGCAGCCGCGGUAAUACAGAGGGUGCGAGCGUUAAUCGGAGUUACUGGGCGUAAAGCGAGCGUAGGCGGCUUAUUAAGUCGGAUGUGAAAUCCCCGAGCUUAACUUGGGAAUUGCAUUCGAUACUGGUGAGCUAGAGUAUGGGAGAGGAUGGUAGAAUUCCAGGUGU